GUAAUGUCUGGGAAACUGCCUGAUGGAGGGGGAUAACUACUGGAAACGGUGGCUAAUACCGCAUAACGUCGCAAGACCAAAGAGGGGGACCUUCGGGCCUCUUGCCAUCAGAUGUGCCCAGAUGGGAUUAGCUAGUUGGUGAGGUAACGGCUCACCAAGGCGACGAUCCCUAGCUGGUCUGAGAGGAUGACCAGCCACACUGGAACUGAGACACGGUCCAGACUCCUACGGGAGGCAGCAGUGGGGAAUAUUGCACAAUGGGCGCAAGCCUGAUGCAGCCAUGCCGCGUGUAUGAAGAAGGCCUUCGGGUUGUAAAGUACUUUCAGCGGGGAGGAAGGUGUUGUGGUUAAUAACCGCAGCAAUUGACGUUACCCGCAGAAGAAGCACCGGCUAACUCCGUGCCAGCAGCCGCGGUAAUACGGAGGGUGCAAGCGUUAAUCGGAAUUACUGGGCGUAAAGCGCACGCAGGCGGUCUGUCAAGUCGGAUGUGAAAUCCCCGGGCUCAACCUGGGAACUGCAUUCGAAACUGGCAGGCUUGAGUCUUGUAGAGGGGGGUAGAAUUCCAGGUGUAGCGGUGAAAUGCGUAGAGAUCUGGA
RNAcentral lists this ribosomal RNA (596 nucleotides) under Salmonella enterica. RNAcentral describes it as "bacterial SSU rRNA". It matches the Rfam family "Bacterial small subunit ribosomal RNA", at positions 110 to 702 of the family's 1533-position model. RNAcentral also lists the same sequence under 2 other names. Lineage: Bacteria; Pseudomonadati; Pseudomonadota; Gammaproteobacteria; Enterobacterales; Enterobacteriaceae. The record is from RNAcentral.